Molecule: ribosomal RNA, 184 nt
Filed under: Myotis septentrionalis (Northern long-eared myotis)
Lineage: Eukaryota; Metazoa; Chordata; Mammalia; Chiroptera; Vespertilionidae
Description: partial 16S ribosomal RNA
Source: RNAcentral
AGAAGCAAUAAUGUUAAUAUGAGUAACAAGAAAGCUUUUCUCCCUACAUACGUGUAUACCAGAACGGAUAACACACUGGUAAUUAACAAAUAUUAAUAUAUUUAACUAACUAAAAUUUAACAUAAUUGUUAAUCCAACACAGGUAUGUAAUUAAGGAAGAUUAAAGAAGUAAAAGGAACUCGGC